GCUGGCCAGCCCCGGGCCCGGGACGCGGGCGAUGCCCGAGCGCAGCCGCGCCCCCUGUUUCCGUGGAGCAAGUGGAAGAAGAGGAUGUCCAUGUCGUCCAUAUCGGCGGCCACCGCGCGGAGGCCGGUGUUUGACGACAAGGAAGACGUGAACUUCGACCACUUCCAGAUCCUGCGUGCCAUCGGGAAGGGCAGCUUCGGCAAGGUGUGCAUUGUGCAGAAGCGGGACACGGAGAAGAUGUACGCCAUGAAGUACAUGAACAAGCAGCAGUGCAUUGAGCGCGACGAGGUGCGCAACGUCUUCCGGGAGCUGGAGAUCCUGCAGGAGAUCGAGCACGUCUUCCUGGUGAACCUCUGGUACUCCUUCCAGGAUGAGGAGGACAUGUUCAUGGUGGUGGACCUGCUUCUAGGUGGGGACCUGCGCUACCACCUGCAGCAGAAUGUCCAGUUCUCUGAGGACACGGUGAAGCUGUAUGUCUGUGAGAUGGCGCUGGCCCUUGACUACCUGCGCAGUCAGCACAUCAUCCACAGGGACGUCAAGCCUGACAACAUCCUGCUGGAUGAGCAAGGGCACGCACACCUGACCGACUUCAACAUCGCCACCAUCAUAAAGGAUGGCGAGAGGGCGACGGCCUUAGCUGGCACCAAGCCCUACAUGGCUCCGGAGAUCUUCCACUCCUUCGUCAAUGGUGGGACUGGCUAUUCCUUCGAGGUGGACUGGUGGUCAGUGGGGGUGAUGGCCUACGAGCUGCUGCGAGGAUGGCGGCCCUAUGACAUCCACUCGAGCAACGCCGUGGAGUCGCUGGUGCAGCUGUUCAGCACCGUGAGUGUCCAGUACGCACCCACCUGGUCCAAGGAGAUGGUGGCCCUGCUUCGGAAGCUUCUCACCGUCAACCCUGAGCACCGGUUCUCCAGCCUCCAGGACAUGCAGGCAGCCCCGUGGCUGGCCAACGUGCCGUGGGAUGAGCUGAGCGAGAAGAAGGUGGAGCCAGGAUUCGUGCCCAACAAGGGCCGCCUGCACUGCGACCCCACCUUUGAGCUGGAGGAGAUGAUCCUGGAGUCGCGGCCCCUGCACAAGAAGAAGAAGCGGCUGGCCAAGAACAGAUCUCGAGACGGCAGCAGGGACAGCUCCCAGUCAGCGACUUUCUCGGAGCAGACUUGGUGCACCUGGGCACUUGUCAUCAAAAUGAGGCUGGGGGUGCAACUCGGCGAGGUGCCUGGACUCCCGGGGCAGGAGCCCACCCCUUCUUGAUGAUGAAGGUCAGUCCCCACCCGUCAGGAUGGUGCCCCCUCUGGGAGCCACCCCAGUUGCCCGCACGGUGCUCUGAGCAGCACUUCACAGAGAGGAGAGGGCCCUAGAGAUCUGCAGAGCACCCCCCGCCUUCAGCCCAGCAGCCUGCACCUGCUGCACAUACUGCUGAGGAACCCCGAGACUGGCAGAGACCCCGGGGGGACUGGGCUGAGCAACCGCAGGGCUCACGCCUACCACCCAGGUGUCCAGCCACGCGCUCAGAAGACGCUGCUCAGGACUGGGAAGGUGAGCUGCUUCCCAGGCCCCGAGACACCUGCCACAGAGCCUGCUCUCUCCUGCUGGAGGGAGGACUAGCAGUGACACCCCGAGGACCUCAUCACUGGGUCCCUAAGAGUACUGGUAACGGAACAUGCUCCUACGUGUCAGAGGGCUUGUCUCCCACGCUCUGGGGCACUGACUGACAAGCGCCCCAGGACCUGUCACUUCCUCCUACCCGGCAGAGUGAGCGCGGUGCCACCGGGGGUAUUAGGGGGAGCACCAUCUGGUGACAGAACAGGGGCAAGAAUCUGGAAGCACACUGUAGCCCUUGGGCGAAUGCCCGUGUCCCUGCCCCUGGCUGGCUGUGCAGGAAACAGUGUCCCGCCUCUCGGUGGCCACGGGUGCUGUCCCUGCCCGUCUCUGCUGGUGGAUCUGCCCUGGGUCAGCCACUGCAGGUGCAGCUACCCAGGGCCUACCCUCAUGGCCCUCAGCCGUCUGGUUCACGCAGGGCCACGAUGGGACCACCACCCUCUUGCCCUAAGGUGGAAAGACAGAACCAAGGCCAGAGUCUGAUCUGUCACUGCCCUGACACCCACUUGGCUCCCCGUCCAGGUCUCCCAGUGAGGUGGUCUGCACCCAGGCUCACCGUCCGUCAGCUCUGCGUCAGUCCCCUGGCGUGUGCGCGUGCUGGGGUGUGAUCCCAGGCCCCCGUCGGCCGACUUCAGCACACAGUGCACCUCACUUGUCACCGUGCUGUACCCUGGGUCUCCAGAACGACCUCGGUAGCCAAGACGUCACCCUUCGCCAUCAUGGUCCCACUUCCCUCCUGUGAAGGCAGCUGUGUCGUGGGCCAGGGGCUGACGGGAGACAGGGCUGCCUGCAGCGGGGUCGCCUUGGCUGCCUUCAGCCCCUGGGAGACAGCGCGGUGGGUCUCUGGGCUGCUGGGCCCGGGCCAGGGGCUCUAGCUGAGCAUGUGCUGGGACCCUCUUCCACCAGGCCUGCGAGCUCACAGCCUCCGGGGUGCAGACAUGGCUCCUGGGCAAGCGCGGGGUGCCCAAGGCAUGCCGUCGCUGUGACAGGGGGCCUUCCUCGAGGACCGCCAGUUCCCGUCAUGGCUCAGGUCAGAGGUGGGGUAGGAUCUGGAAAGGUGACCCGUCCACCCUGGACCUGCAUGUGGACACUGCAUUCGUCUCUGACCCCCAGGAACACGGGGCCCUGUGGCACAUCUCCACAGACCCUGCUGCCACCCUGACCCAUGGCCCGUGGGUACAGUUGCCCACCUCACUCUGCAGGUUGAGGGCAGCUGCCUGCCUUCUGCUCCUGGGCGUGUGGCCUCCCCACAGGUGUGACUGCAUCUCCUGUCCUGUGCCCCUCCCCAGAUCACUCCUGACCACCCCACCGAAGGGCGCACCCUGGGCCCCUACGUGGAGUCGUGGUCUUCUGGAUCUUGGCUCUUGAGCCCCCUUACCCUUCCCUUCAGCACUCUCUCAGGGUGGCCUGGAACCACCAGGAGGGACCAGGCAGGUUUCCAAGAGCUGCCCCGCCCAGGUGGAACCCUGAUCCUGCGCUUCUGCCAGGAAAUGGAUUGCCAGCCGUGGGAAAGUCCUCAUCGGGAGCUGCCCCUCGCCAGCCUCCUGUUGCCCACCGGCAGCGCCCCCGCCGGCUCCCAGGCCUGCUCUCCUGGCCUCCUGGUCCAUGUUAUCCAGGCCUCUUCAGCAAGUGCCUCUCUGACCUGAGCAGGCCCAGCACUGCCCCGCUGGCCACGCUGCUGGAGGGGCCAGCAGCGGACCCUGAGCAAGGCUGGGUGGCAUGACCUCUCCGCUCCGCAGGGAGGGGGCUGCUCUUCCCCCAGGGAGAACGACUUCCUGCAGGACUGCCUCGAUGCCAUCCAGCAGGACUUCGUGAUUUUCAACAGAGAGAAGCUGAAGAGGAGCCAGGAACUUGCCAGCGAGCCUCUCCCGGCCCCAGAGACUGCAGCUGCAGCGGAGGCCCCGG
Molecule: non-coding RNA, 3504 nt
Organism: Ictidomys tridecemlineatus (thirteen-lined ground squirrel)
Lineage: Eukaryota; Metazoa; Chordata; Mammalia; Rodentia; Sciuridae
Source: RefSeq, a predicted model, not a curated record